GCCCCGUUCGUCUAGCGGCUAGGACGCCGGCCUCUCACGCCGGUAACACGGGUUCAAAUCCCGUACGGGGUAC
Molecule: transfer RNA, 73 nt
Filed under: Corynebacterium glutamicum
Lineage: Bacteria; Bacillati; Actinomycetota; Actinomycetes; Mycobacteriales; Corynebacteriaceae
Description: tRNA-Glu
Rfam family: tRNA
About the family: Transfer RNA (tRNA) molecules are approximately 80 nucleotides in length.
Source: RNAcentral